RNAcentral lists this unclassified non-coding RNA (344 nucleotides) under soil metagenome. RNAcentral's name for it is "partial contains 5.8S ribosomal RNA, internal transcribed spacer 2, and large subunit ribosomal RNA". The stretch from base 1 to 120 matches the Rfam family "5.8S ribosomal RNA", at positions 35 to 154 of the family's 154-position model. The record is from RNAcentral.
GAUGAAGAACGUAGCGAAAUGCGAUAAGUAAUGUGAAUUGCAGAAUUCAGUGAAUCAUCGAAUCUUUGAACGCACAUUGCGCCCCCUGGUAUUCCGGGGGGCAUGCCUGUUCGAGCGUCAUUACAACCCUCAAGCCUCGCUUGGUGUUGGGCGUUGCCUCGCGAGAGGCACGCCCCAAAGCCCUCGGCGGCCUCGUCUCCGCUCCAAGCGUCGUGAAACGUCUACAAGCGUCUCGCUUUGGAAGCCGGGUCGGCGCCCGCCGCGCAACGAAACAACCUUCACCAGUUUGACCUCGGAUCAGGUAGGGAUACCCGCUGAACUUAAGCAUAUCAAUAAGCGGAGGA